RNAcentral lists this ribosomal RNA (546 nucleotides) under uncultured bacterium. Its description in RNAcentral is "bacterial SSU rRNA". It matches the Rfam family "Bacterial small subunit ribosomal RNA", at positions 777 to 1319 of the family's 1533-position model. The record is from RNAcentral.
AAUAGAUACCCCAGGUAGUCCACGCCGUAAACGUUGGAUACUAGGUGUGGCGGUCUUACCAACGACUGCCGUGCCGAAGCUAACGCAUUAAGUAUCCCGCCUGGGGAGUACGGCCGCAAGGCUAAAACUCAAAGGAAUUGACGGGUCCCCGCACAAGCGGCGGAGCAUGCGGCUUAAUUCGAUGCAACCCGAAGAACCUUACCUGGGUUUGACAUCACGGGAAAAGCUGUAGAAAUACAGUGUCCGUAAGGGCCCGUGACAGGUGGUGCAUGGCUGUCGUCAGCUCGUGUCGUGAGAUGUUGGGUUAAGUCCCGCAACGAGCGCAACCCUUGUCCUAUGUUGCCAGCAGUUCGGCUGGGGGUACUCGUAGGAGACUGCCGGGGGAUAACUCGGAGGAAGGUGAGGACGACGUCAAGUCAUCAUGCCCCUUAUAUCCAGGGCUGCACGCAUGCUACAAUGGCCGGUACAACGGGCAGCGACCCCGCGAGGGUGAGCGAAUCCUAUAAAGCCGGUCCCAGUUCGGAUUGAAGUCUGCAACUCGACUUC